RNAcentral lists this ribosomal RNA (425 nucleotides) under uncultured bacterium. RNAcentral describes it as "partial 16S ribosomal RNA". It matches the Rfam family "Bacterial small subunit ribosomal RNA", at positions 354 to 796 of the family's 1533-position model. The record is from RNAcentral.
GUGGGGAAUCUUAGACAAUGGGGGAAACCCUGAUCUAGCCAUGCCGCGUGAGCGAUGAAGGCCUUAGGGUUGUAAAGCUCUUUCAGCUGGGAAGAUAAUGACUGUACCAGCAGAAGAAGCCCCGGCUAACUCCGUGCCAGCAGCCGCGGUAAUACGGAGGGGGCUAGCGUUGUUCGGAAUUACUGGGCGUAAAGCGCACGUAGGCGGACCGGAAAGUCAGAGGUGAAAUCCCAGGGCUCAACCUUGGAACUGCCUUUGAGACUCCUGGUCUUGAGGUCGAGAGAGGUGAGUGGAAUUCCGAGUGUAGAGGUGAAAUUCGUAGAUAUUCGGAGGAACACUAGUGGCGAAGGCGGCUCACUGGCUCGAUACUGACGCUCAGGUGCGAAAGCGUUCUGCACAAACACGAUUAGAAACCCUGGUAGUCC